This is a long non-coding RNA of Phyllostomus discolor (pale spear-nosed bat), 1261 nucleotides long. RefSeq lists it as uncharacterized. The transcript has 2 exons. The record is from RefSeq and is a predicted model, not a curated record. Lineage: Eukaryota; Metazoa; Chordata; Mammalia; Chiroptera; Phyllostomidae.
AGGCAGGGAGGAAAUGGAACCCCAAGGAAACACGUUCAAGACACUGCUUUACCUUCAGAACCACCUUCCUGCCCCCAACCUGAUUAACUUAGACCUGUCCCUCUCAGGUGUCCUGUGCUUCAGGAAGUCCUCCCUAACUUGCUUUGAAUUCACCUCUUACACGCACCACACUCUUAAUUGCCUAUUUAUCAGUUUCCUCCACCAGAAUACAGAAUCCCUGAGGGUAGGAAAUGAUGGAAUGACCUUGUUCACUGCUGCAUUCCUAGGGGCUACUGUGCCCAACACACAAUAUGGGCACUUGGUAGCUGCUAAAUUAAUAAUAGUAAAAAUUGUAAAAGCAGCAAGCAUUUAUGGUGCACUUACUGUGUACCAGGACCUGUGCUAAAUGCCUCACAGAGAUCAACUCACAAUAAGUAUUAUCUUCCCUGUUUUAUAGAUCAGAAAAUUCAGACUCAGAGAGGUUAAACAUUGGAAGUUACUCUACAAACCAGUGACGCACAAGGGAGACCCGUCAAGACCGUGGCGCAAAGAUAAAAUGAUGACUGAGAAGGCAUUGCCUGAUUUGACAAUGCUGUUGACUAGAUGACAAACGGUAUACAAAGGAGAAUUCCUUCAUCUUGAUUUAAUUUUGUUUCAUUUUUUCCUAUUUUUAGCACUGGUUUUCUAAACUUCCUACAUGUCUGGGGUUCAACUAUAAAUACUGCAUUUGAGCCACAAAACCUCUAAGAGACCUGGUUAAAAAGUGAACAAAUUUAACCAGUUCAGCAUUGUAACCAGUGGCUGAAGAGGCUCCUGCCCUAGGACAGGUAAUCAGGUUUGCUUUGUAAAAGACUCUUCAAGGAAAUGUGAGUACAGUCAAAUGGAAUAAAAAAAAAUGGAAAGCUCUCUGUAUUAAACUUGAUUCUGAGCCCCACCCCAAAAUAAAUCCAACGUCUAUCCUCUUCUCAUCAUUCCCUGAUAAAAACUAUGAGGGCUAGAACAAAAAUACAAGGGUUGCUUAUCUAGGCAUGGAGUUUUAUCACAAGAAUAGAUGUCAAACUCUUUUACCAGCUCCCACUAUUACAUCAACACCAGCGAAGUUACUAAUUAUAUUUCUGGGAUUAAUAACAGCAAGAUAUUUUGUUGGUUAGUAUGGAAUACAGAAUCCCAUAUACUUACAUCAACAAUUGUUAUUGGGUCUUUAUUUUUGCUAGAAGAAGUAUCUGGUUUGUCUUCAUAACCUUCAAAUUCUUCAUCAUCAUAUGGCUCACCCUCGGUAUCU